UACGUAGGCAGCGAGCGUUGUUCGGAUUUACUGGGCGUAAAGGGUGCGUAGGUGGCGGGGUAAGUCUGGUGUGAAAGCUCCGAGCUCAACUCGGAAAAGCAUUGGAAACUAUCCCGCUUGAGGGUCGGAGGGGAGACUGGAAUUCUCGGUGUAGCAGUGAAAUGCGUAGAUAUCGAGAGGAACACCAGUGGCGAAGGCGAGUCUCUGGACGACUCCUGACACUGAGGCACGAAAGCUAGGGGAGCAAACAGG
This 252-nucleotide ribosomal RNA is filed under the name uncultured bacterium. Its description in RNAcentral is "partial 16S ribosomal RNA". It matches the Rfam family "Bacterial small subunit ribosomal RNA", at positions 524 to 776 of the family's 1533-position model. The record is from RNAcentral.